This 3815-nucleotide long non-coding RNA is filed under the name Homo sapiens (human). RNAcentral describes it as "HSALNT0363756". Lineage: Eukaryota; Metazoa; Chordata; Mammalia; Primates; Hominidae. The record is from RNAcentral.
ACACUUUCUGUUUGCGUUGAUGAGAUGGUACAGCAUAGUGACAUAUCCACAGAAAUCCUGCAAAUCCACUUUGCUCCUUAAUAUUUUCAAUGCUUUAUGGGCACCCAUACGACACAAGCAAACCCUCCUUGUGGUUUUAUUUUAUCAAAUGGAAAAGAUUUCUCUCAUCCCAUCAUUCAACAUUGUAAGCACAUGUGAAGCAUGAAUUACUUCAAGGAUCAUAACUCCAAGACAUAAUAAUAAUAUAGCAAGAAUAACAAUGGUGAAAUAUAUCUUGACAGUUUUUGAGAUCUUGUACCUUUGGAAAGUAAAAGAAACGGGGAUAUGACUUCUGGGGAUGACUUCUGGAUAACUGGUCUAAUAUGCUGAGGAGCUCUACUCUGAUGGAUUUGGAUUCAUUGGUGAGAGGAGCCAUGAAACAAGCAAUAUACAAUUCUUGUUUAGAACUCUGCUGCAAGUCACAGGUUCCAAAUCAAGAAGGCUUUCACAGUGUAAGAUACUGAGAAGAAAACCACAGUUGGGUUGUUUUGGUUGUGUGACCACAUCACUGAGACACAGACACAGUGUUGUGCUUUUCAGAGUAAGUGCCUGAUCAAAAUUUCUCUCUAUUCUGUACUUCUUUUUCACCAGUGUUUUGAACGUUUUGUAGGUCUUUAAAAAAGUUGUCCAGAUGCUCAUAUGAAAAUUUGCAAACUUUUGGUGAAAGAUUUCCCAUCAUUAAACCAGCAAGAGUAGCCAGGCAUGGUGGCUAGCACCUGUAAUCCCAAUGACUUGGGCAGCUGAGGUGGGAGGAUCACUUGAGUCCAGAAAUUCAAGACCAGCCUAGGCAACAAAGCGAGCCCCUGUCUCUAUAAAAAAUUUUAAAAUUAGCUGGGCCUGGUGGCAGGUGCCUGUAGUCCCAGCUACUUGAGAGGCUGAGGCAGGAAAAUUGCUUGGGCCCAGGAGUCUGGAGGCUGCAGUGAACCGUGAUCACGCCACUGCACUCCAGCCUGGGUAACAGUGAUACCCUGUCUUAAAAAAAAAAUCUGUUUACAGACUGAAGCAACCCUCCCGCCUUAGCCUCCUAAAGUGCUGGGAUUACAGGCAUGAGCCACCACUCCCAGCCUAAAGUAAACUUUUAUUGAAGUAAAACACAUAUAAAACAGUGCACAAAUCCUAAGUAUACAGCAUGAAUAACUUUUAUAAAGCAAACAUCCCUGUAUAAUGAGCACACAUGAGGAAACAUUACUAACACCCAGAAGUGAUCCUUUGUGUCUACCAUCAGUCACUAUUCACCCAAAGAAUAACCAGUAUCCUGAUUUUUAACACCAAAUAUUUGUUUUACCUGUUCUUAAACAUUAUAUAAAUGGAAUGAUACUAUAUGUACUAUUUUGUAUCUUUCACUCAACGCUAUGUGAGAUUCAUCCAAGUUACAUAAAAUUGUAGUUCUUUAAUUUUCAUUCAAAAAUAGGCAGAGGCCUUAAAUAGACAUUUCUCCAAAGAAGAUAUGCAGAUGGCCAAUAACCACACGAAAAGAGCCAUAGCAUCACUAAUCAUUAAUCAAAAUCACAAUGAGAGACCACCUUACACCCAUUAGGAUGGCUACUAUCAAAAACCAGAAAAUAAGUGUUGAAGAGGAUGUGGAGAAACAAACCCUUAUACACUGCAGCUGGGAAUGAGAAUGGUCCAGCUGCUAUGGAAAACAGUAUGAUGGUCCCUCAAAAAAUUAAAUAUAGAAUUACCCAUACCAAGUGAUUCCAUGAUUCCACUUUGCACUUUGGGUAUAUACCUAAAAAAAUGGAAAGGAGGUUUCUUUUUUUUUUUUUUUUUUUUGAGACAGAGUCACGCUCUGUCGCCCAGCUGGAGUGCAGUGGUGCGAUCUCAGCUCACUGUGAGCUCCACCUCCUGGGUUCAAGCAAUCAAGCGAUUUUCCUGCCUCAGUCUCCCCAGUAGAUCUUUAAGUCUGCAACCCAGACAUACUGACAGCUGACAAUCCCUUGGAUGUACCUUGAAUGUUUUUAUCUUGUUUCUGGGCCUUUGCACGAACCAUUCCCUUUGCCUAGGAUGACUUUCACUUCACUUUCUUUACCUGCAUAACACCUACUUGACCUUUAGGUGUCUUCCUCCAAGAAGCUUCCUGGCCCCCCAACCACGUCAGAUGUCCCUUAUCUGUGUACCUGCUCUUGGGUGCUUUGUAUACAUCUCUAUUUGUAGCUUUGAUCACCCAGUAUGGUGACUGAUGGUUUGCAGUUUGUCUUUCCUGCCCCACCAUCCUCCACCCCAGUGAGCUCCUUGAGGACAGGACUGGUCUUGUUCACCCCAGCACCUAACAUAACAUAUGGCUUACAAUGUAUGUACAAUGAAUAUUUUCAUUCAUGUAGCACACUGUGCUUUUCAAAGUGCCCUGAAACAAACUCAUCUACAGAGCUAUAAUAAUAUUUCCUUACUUAACAUUCAUUCCUUCUGAAUAAAAUAUUCUUUUAAAAAAUAUUACCAUUACUUAGAACAUUUAUGUGAAUUAUCCAUUAUGUCACAAAUGGGACUGAGUCAGGACUCUAACUAUCUUAUUUCUGCCUGACGUAGUAGAAGAGUUUGAGAAAAAGCAGAUUUCUUUUGAAUCACUUGACUGGAGGUGGUGUCUCUAGGAGUGUGGUGGGGAAAUGGAUGCACAGAACUUAGAAACUGGCCUCAGCUGGUAAUCUGACCUUCUCAUGAAUUCACAUCCCUGGUUUCCUGGAAGCAUAAAUUGAGGCCAGCGUUGAAAAGGUGUUCACACCGUAGCCUGGGAGAAACUGUCUCUCAGUCCUUGGAAUCACAGAACUAAAGAGCUUCAGGUCAUCUGGUUGAAUCUCUGCCUUUAAGAAGUGGGGAAAGAGACUGGGAGCAGUGGCUCACGCCUGUAAUCCCAGCACUUUGGGAGGCUGAGGUGGGUGGAUCAUCUGAGGUCAGGAGUUUGAGACCAGCCUGGUCAACACAGUGAAAACCCCAUCUUUACUAAAAAUACAAAAACUAGCCAGAGUGUGGUGGCACGCACCUGUAGUCCCAGCUACUCGAGAGUCUGAGGCAGGAGAAUUACUUGAACCUGGGAGGUGGAUGUUGCUGUGAGCCAAGAUUGUGUUAGCCUGGGCACAGAGCAAGACUUUGACUCAAAAAAAAAAAAAAAAAAAAAAAAAACAGUGGAGAAAGAGAUCUAGUAUUUUGGCCUAGAAACCUCACAAGACUCACCAAUCUCGUUUUUCUUUCUCCAAAAGGCUAGACUUGGCAGUUAGUAGGCUCCUGAUCCCAGUCAAAAUAUCUCUUAGAAUAUUUUAUCCUCCCUUUCUCAGAAUCAUCACCUGAAUAGCAUCCUCUGGGUAGGUGGUGUGUUAAUAUUGCCAUAUGGAAAUUCAUGGAAGAUAUAGUUCCUGGCCCUAGAAACUUACAAACUGAGACCAGGAGUUUGAGAGUGAUUUGCACAUGUCAGUCAAGUCAAAAGAAAGAGAAACUCUUUUUUCUUUUUUCGUUUUUGUUUUUUGAGAUGGGGUCUCACUCUGUCACCUAGGCUAGGGUGCAGUGGUGUAAGCUCGGCUCACUGCAACCUCCGCCUCCUGGGCUCAAGUGAUCCUCCCACCUGAGCCCCCCGAGUAGCUGGGACCGCAGGCACAUGUCACCAUGCCUGGCUAAAAAGGGAAACUUUUAAUUUAAUUCAAUUCAAUUUAAUUUUUUUUUUUGAGACAGAGUCUCGCCUAGGCUGGAGUGCAGUGGUGUGGUUUUGGCUCACUGCAACCUCAGUCUCCUGGGUUCGAGUGAUUCUCUUGCCUCAGCCUCCCGAGUAGCUAGGAUUACAGGCACCCACC